AGUAAUGAAAGUACGAUGGAUGAGAAUGACAGUGUAAAGCACUAGGACCCUGUGCCAGGCUCUGCAGAGUGGAACCACCUAGAGCUGAUGAAGGCUGUCAGUUUUGCUGGUCCAGUGGCUGAUGAUCACCGCCCCAUUGUACACCAGUGUGAUCCAUAUGACUCCAUAGGGGCCAGCCCGCAGUAGGACAUGCAGGACGAAGAGGAAAGACCCCUUAUGGAAGACCUUAUGACUGACCUUACUAUGCUUGUCUGUAACAAAUGUCAUUACCCAUUAAUAGUAUUUGUGUAAUCACCAUCUUCCAGAUUUCCAUUUUCUACUGUCCUAUUCUAUUUUAUUUCACUCAUAUAAUUGAUAAUAAAAAUACUGUUUCUCUUA
Long non-coding RNA from Erinaceus europaeus (western European hedgehog), 378 nucleotides. RefSeq lists it as uncharacterized. The record is from RefSeq and is a predicted model, not a curated record. The transcript is spliced from 3 exons. NCBI's taxonomy places the organism in Eukaryota, Metazoa, Chordata, Mammalia, Eulipotyphla, Erinaceidae.